GAUGAACGCUGGCGGCGUGCCUAAUACAUGCAAGUCGAGCGAACAGACGAGGAGCUUGCUCCUCUGACGUUAGCGGCGGACGGGUGAGUAACACGUGGAUAACCUACCUAUAAGACUGGGAUAACUUCGGGAAACCGGAGCUAAUACCGGAUAAUAUAUUGAACCGCAUGGUUCAAUAGUGAAAGACGGUUUUGCUGUCACUUAUAGAUGGAUCCGCGCCGCAUUAGCUAGUUGGUAAGGUAACGGCUUACCAAGGCGACGAUGCGUAGCCGACCUGAGAGGGUGAUCGGCCACACUGGAACUGAGACACGGUCCAGACUCCUACGGGAGACAGCAGUAGGGAAUCUUCCGCAAUGGGCGAAAGCCUGACGGAGCAACGCCGCGUGAGUGAUGAUGGUCUUCGGAUCGUAAAGCUCUGUUAUUAGGGAAGAACAAAUGUGUAAGUAACUAUGCACGUCUUGACGGUACCUAAUCAGAAAGCCACGGCUAACUACGUGCCAGCCGCCGCCGUAA
This 513-nucleotide ribosomal RNA is filed under the name uncultured bacterium. Its description in RNAcentral is "partial 16S ribosomal RNA". It matches the Rfam family "Bacterial small subunit ribosomal RNA", at positions 28 to 523 of the family's 1533-position model. The record is from RNAcentral.